This 497-nucleotide ribosomal RNA is filed under the name uncultured bacterium. Its description in RNAcentral is "partial 16S ribosomal RNA". It matches the Rfam family "Bacterial small subunit ribosomal RNA", at positions 28 to 507 of the family's 1533-position model. The record is from RNAcentral.
GAUGAACGCUGGCGGCGUGCCUAAUACAUGCAAGUCGAGCGAACAGACGAGGAGCUUGCUCCUCUGACGUUAGCGGCGGACGGGUGAGUAACACGUGGAUAACCUACCUAUAAGACUGGGAUAACUUCGGGAAACCGGAGCUAAUACCGGAUAAUAUAUUGAACCGCAUGGUUCAAUAGUGAAAGACGGUUUUGCUGUCACUUAUAGAUGGAUCCGCGCCGCAUUAGCUAGUUGGUAAGGUAACGGCUUACCAAGGCAACGAUGCGUAGCCGACCUGAGAGGGUGAUCGGCCACACUGGAACUGAGGCACGGUCCAGACUCCUACGGGAGGCAGCAGUAGGGAAUCUUCCGCAAUGGGCGAAAGCCUGACGGAGCAACGCCGCGUGAGUGAUGAAGUUCUUCGGAUCGUAAAACUCUGUUAUUAGGGAAGAACAAAUGUGUAAGUAACUAUGCACGUCUUGACGGUACCUAAUCAGAAAGCCACGGCUAACUACGUG